ACGGGAGGCAGCAGUGGGGAAUAUUGCACAAUGGGGGAAACCCUGAUGCAGCGACGCCGCGUGAGUGAAGAAGUUAUUCGUAAUGUAAAGCUCUAUCAGCAGGGAAGAAAAUGACGGUACCUGACUAAGAAGCCCCGGCUAACUACGUGCCAGCAGCCGCGGUAAUACGUAGGGGGCAAGCGUUAUCCGGAUUUACUGGGUGUAAAGGGAGCGUAGACGGUCUGGCAAGUCUGAUGUGAAAGGCAGGGGCUCAACUCCUGGACUGCAUUGGAAACUGUCAGUCUUGAGUGCCGGAGAGGUAAGCGGAAUUCCUAGUGUAGCGGUGAAAUGCGUAGAUAUUAGGAGGAACACCAGUGGCGAAGGCGGCUUACUGGACAAUAACUGACGCUGAGGCUCGAAAGCGUGGGGAGCAAACAGGAUUAGAUACCCUGGUA
This 434-nucleotide ribosomal RNA is filed under the name uncultured Clostridium sp. RNAcentral's name for it is "partial 16S ribosomal RNA". It matches the Rfam family "Bacterial small subunit ribosomal RNA", at positions 341 to 792 of the family's 1533-position model. The record is from RNAcentral. Lineage: Bacteria; Bacillati; Bacillota; Clostridia; Eubacteriales; Clostridiaceae.